ACUUUUAAAGGAUAGAAGUAAUCCAUUGGUCUUAGGAACCAAAAAAU
RNAcentral lists this transfer RNA (47 nucleotides) under Varecia variegata variegata. RNAcentral describes it as "partial tRNA-Leu". Lineage: Eukaryota; Metazoa; Chordata; Mammalia; Primates; Lemuridae. RNAcentral also lists the same sequence under 1 other name. The record is from RNAcentral.